This 462-nucleotide ribosomal RNA is filed under the name uncultured bacterium. Its description in RNAcentral is "partial 16S ribosomal RNA". It matches the Rfam family "Bacterial small subunit ribosomal RNA", at positions 29 to 523 of the family's 1533-position model. The record is from RNAcentral.
AACGAACGCUGGCGGCAGGCUUAACACAUGCAAGUCGAACGCCCCGCAAGGGGAGUGGCGCACGGGUGGGUAACGCGUGGGGAUCUGCCCUUUAGUUCGGAAUAACACCGGGAAACUGGUGCUAAUACCGGAUACUCCAUUUUGUCUUGGCGACAGAAUGGGAAAGAUUUAUCGCUAAAGGAUGAACCCGCGUAUGAUUAGCUAGUUGGUGAGGUAAUGGCUCACCAAGGCGACGAUCAUUAGCUGGUCUGAGAGGACGAUCAGCCACACUGGAACUGAGACACGGUCCAGACUCCUACGGGAGGCAGCAGUGGGGAAUAUUGGACAAUGGGCGAAAGCCUGAUCCAGCCAUGCCGCGUGAGUGAUGAAGGCCUUCGGGUUGUAAAGCUCUUUUAGAUGGGAAGGUAAUGACGGUACCAUCAGAAUAAGCCCCGGCUAACUUCGUGCCAGCCGCCGCAGUAA